GCAGAGCCACUCCUACGGGAGGCAGCAGUGGGGAAUAUUGCACAAUGGGCGCAAGCCUGAUGCAGCCAUGCCGCGUGUAUGAAGAAGGCCUUCGGGUUGUAAAGUACUUUCAGCAGUGAGGAAGGUGGGUAUGUUAAUAGCAUACUCAUUUGACGUUAGCUGCAGAAGAAGCACCGGCUAACUCCGUGCCAGCAGCCGCGGUAAUACGGAGGGUGCGAGCGUUAAUCGGAAUUACUGGGCGUAAAGCGCAUGCAGGUGGUUUGUUAAGUCAGAUGUGAAAGCCCGGGGCUCAACCUCGGAAUUGCAUUUGAAACUGGCAAACUAGAGUACUGUAGAGGGGGUAGAAUUUCAGGUGUAGCGGUGAAAUGCGUAGAGAUCUGAAGGAAUACCGGUGGCGAAGGCGGCCCCCUGGACAGAUACUGACACUCAGAUGCGAAAGCGUGGGGAGCAAACAGGAUUAGAUACCCUGGUAG
This 473-nucleotide ribosomal RNA is filed under the name uncultured bacterium. Its description in RNAcentral is "bacterial SSU rRNA". It matches the Rfam family "Bacterial small subunit ribosomal RNA", at positions 324 to 793 of the family's 1533-position model. The record is from RNAcentral.